UACAGAGACUGCAAGCGUUUAUUCGGAUUCACUGGGCGUAAAGGGUGCGCAGGCGGUUGGGUGUGUCAGAUGUGAAAUCCCGAGGCUUAACCUCGGAACUGCGUCUGAAACUACUCGACUAGAGUACUGGAGAGGGUAACGGAAUUCACGGUGUAGCAGUGAAAUGCGUAGAUAUCGUGAGGAACACCAGAGGCGAAGGCGGUUACCUGGACAGUUACUGACGCUCAGGCACGAAAGCAUGGGGAGCAAAAGGG
RNAcentral lists this ribosomal RNA (254 nucleotides) under uncultured bacterium. Its description in RNAcentral is "partial 16S ribosomal RNA". It matches the Rfam family "Bacterial small subunit ribosomal RNA", at positions 524 to 776 of the family's 1533-position model. The record is from RNAcentral.